AUGGGCACAAAAAAAUUGCUGUCAAACGUACGGAACAGCCUGUCCAGUGGUAAAUAUAGAGGUCAGUGACAAUAACCCAUCGCUUGGAAUGUUUGGAACAACAUCAGCAUGAAGUGUACUUCUUUGGGGAUUGUUCAAAAGUCGAGUAAAUCUUAUCUAUAUAAUAUUAGUUUUAGGUUGUCAGAUUUCCUAACAACUGAUAAAUUUAGUUGACAGAUAAAAUUUAUUCAACUAUUGAAAAAUCCUUACAUACUAAAUCUCACUUAGGUUACGAGCUGCCUCUGCAACAACUACUCUUAAGAUCGUACAAAAAUAAGAAAUGAGGAAAUAUAACGUGUCACUGAGAGUGUAAUGUGGCUGGCUAUGAAGGCUGUUUGCAGCCAAGAACGCCAGUUUGUGGGCGUAUUGGCACACAGACGGGACACGCACUUGAGAAGAACAGUUGAAAUACAAGUCUCGGCAUUCGGAAACCUACAGCCCCAGCAGUUUUCAUAAUUAAAUCUAUGAAUCCUUCUGAAUCUCGACGUUGUCUUUCUGGGGUUAUGACCACCCAUGAUGGCAAUUGUGAGAUAUCUAAUAGAGG
RNAcentral lists this long non-coding RNA (583 nucleotides) under Helicoverpa zea (corn earworm). RNAcentral describes it as "uncharacterized LOC124633276, transcript variant X2". Lineage: Eukaryota; Metazoa; Arthropoda; Insecta; Lepidoptera; Noctuidae. The record is from RNAcentral.